Molecule: ribosomal RNA, 407 nt
Filed under: uncultured bacterium
Lineage: Bacteria
Description: bacterial SSU rRNA
Rfam family: Bacterial small subunit ribosomal RNA
Source: RNAcentral
AGAGUUUGAUCAUGGCUCAGGACGAACGCUGGCGGCGGGCCUUAUGCAUGCAAGUCAAACGCACUCGACCUUCGGGUCAUAUGAGUGAGUGGCGAACGGGUGAGUAACACGUGAGAAACCUGCCCCGAAGACUGGAAUAACCCGGGGAAACUCGGGCUAAUACCGGAUAUCCCCAAUUAAUCGCAUGGUUAGUUGAGGAAAUGCUCCGGCGCUUCGGGAGGGUCUCGCGGCCUAUCAGCUAGUUGGUGAGGUAACGGCUCACCAAGGCAACGACGGGUAGCUGGUCUGAGAGGACGAUCAGCCACACUGGAACUGAGACACGGUCCAGACUCCUACGGGAGCCACCAGUGGGGAAUUUUGGACAAUGGGGGAAACCCUGAUCCAGCCAUUCCGCGUGAGUGAAGAAG